RNAcentral lists this ribosomal RNA (498 nucleotides) under uncultured Glomeromycotina. Its description in RNAcentral is "partial small subunit ribosomal RNA". It matches the Rfam family "Eukaryotic small subunit ribosomal RNA", at positions 591 to 1092 of the family's 1831-position model. Lineage: Eukaryota; Fungi; Glomeromycota. The record is from RNAcentral.
CCAAUAGCGUAUAUUAAAGUUGUUGCAGUUAAAAAGCUCGUAGUUGAAUUUCGGGGUUCUUCCGUUGGUCAGGCUAACAAGUCUGUACUAGCGUGUAGAAUCUCUACCUUCUGGGGAACCAUCAUGUUAUUAAUUUAGCGUGGUGGGAAACCAGGACCUUUACCUUGAAAAAAUUAGAGUGUUCAAAGCAGGCUUACGUCUGAAUACAUUAGCAUGGAAUAAUAAAAUAGGACGGUGGUCCUGUUUUGUUGGUUUCUGAAUCACCGUAAUGAUUAAUAGGGAUAGUUGGGGGCAUUAGUAUUCAAUUGUCAGAGGUGAAAUUCUUGGAUUUAUUGAAGACUAACUUCUGCGAAAGCAUUUGCCAAGGAUGUUUUCAUUAAUCAAGAACGAAAGUUAGGGGAUCGAAGACGAUCAGAUACCGUCGUAGUCUUAACCAUAAACUAUGCCGACUAGGGAUCGGACGAUGUUAAAUUUUAUUGACUCGUUCGGCGCUUUACG